AGUGAACGCUGGCGGUAGGCCUAACACAUGCAAGUCGAACGGCAGCACAGUAAGAGCUUGCUCUUACGGGUGGCGAGUGGCGGACGGGUGAGGAAUACAUCGGAAUCUACUUUUUCGUGGGGGAUAACGUAGGGAAACUUACGCUAAUACCGCAUACGACCUACGGGUGAAAGUAGGGGAUCUUCGGACCUUGCGCGAUUGAAUGAGCCGAUGUCGGAUUAGCUAGUUGGCGGGGUAAAGGCCCACCAAGGCGACGAUCCGUAGCUGGUCUGAGAGGAUGAUCAGCCACACUGGAACUGAGACACGGUCCAGACUUCUACGGGAGGCAGCAGUGGGGAAUAUUGGACAAUGGGCGCAAGCCUGAUCCAGCCAUACCGCGUGGGUGAAGAAGGCCUUCGGGUUGUAAAGCCCUUUUGUUGGGAAAGAAAAGCAGCAGGUUAAUACCCCGCUGUUCUGACGGUACCCAAAGAAUAAGCACCGGCUAACUUCGUG
This 492-nucleotide ribosomal RNA is filed under the name uncultured bacterium. RNAcentral's name for it is "partial 16S ribosomal RNA". It matches the Rfam family "Bacterial small subunit ribosomal RNA", at positions 29 to 507 of the family's 1533-position model. The record is from RNAcentral.